GACCAAUAUUAAUUAAACAAAUAUGAUUUCUCCUUUAAUAUAUUAUUCUUAUAACAUAUUAAUAAAUCAUAAUAACCUCUCUCUCUAUUUAUUUCUCCAAUCAAGUUGCUUUGGUGAAGGCAACCCAAAAGGACCAUGCACCAUCGGGUCAAGUACAUACCAAAAUAGUUAUGGACUUAGACACUAAUCCAACAGUCUCCCACUUGGAUAAGUCUAAUAACUAUUAUGCGUAUGACUUCAGAUCCUGAUCUGCAAUCGUAGCUUUCCAAAGCCGCUGUCAACUCUGAUCCUAUCAGAUACGCGUGUCCUUAGAUAAGGGAUCAUAUAUUCCUCCAUUCUAGAUAUCAUAUGAGAUAUGAUUUCAAAUCAUUCUCUUUGUACUAUAUCUCGAUUCCCGAUUUAUGACGACUGACUAAUUGAACAAAUCAAAUUAGCCCUAGCCCGGCCGAGCAUUUACGUUUGUCAUCACUAAAUCAUCGAGGGGCCCAAAGAUAUCGCUUUUAUCCUACUUUGGAUAAAAGGAACGGAUAAACUUUGAUACAAUGCUUGCUUGCACUCACUCACCGAAUCACACACAACAAUAUGUUUUAUAACACCAAGUUACUAGUGCGUUUACAUAUUAUCAAUGUGCAACCGAUUUGCAAGAUACAACUCACACAUCUCGGUUUCAAGAAUAUAAGAUGUUAUCGUCUCACCAAUCACUCGUGAUACAAUUCAUGGAGUGAUCCAAGUGAGCGUGGGUUUAAUCCAAUGCUCAAAUCAUAUUCAUAAGCACUCAUGAACGUUGCAGCAAACAUUUGCUUAUGUCUAAUACUCUUUUAGACAAUCCACACACCAAUUCACGACAGUCUUCAUUCAUAUCUACUUCCAACAUAUGAACGACUGUGGCCCGUUCGAAUAAUUCGAUUAUUCUUAAUAAACUCAAUUAUUCUGGAAGUCAAAACAUGCAAAUGUGAAACACAAGAAUAAUACUAAUCCCAUAUGGCCUCAAACCUUUGAGUAUAAAUAAAACACCUUUUAUUUAUCACCAUAUUGAUUACUCAUUAUUUGUCGUUUCGGGUAAUCAACUUCUUACUUGAAUUACAACACUUGUCCCAUGCUCCUAGCAUGCACACAAUGUUUACCUAUGGUUCUUACUUUGUGAAAUAGAUCACAUUGAACACAUUUCCAAUCAUUCUCAUUUCACAACUCCAAAUCCUUUUUCUAAGUGAAAGAAUAUCAAAUUCUUGCUACUUAUAGAAUAUGCUAGAUUCUAACAUUCUAUGCAACUUAUCCUUUCGUAAUGUCACUGCACCAAAGUCACAAAGACUAUUGCCAAUGAUAUUACAAAGUCCUCUAUCGGAGAUUGUUACAAGACAAUUCCAUAGACGUGAUGUCUCUCACUCAAAGUACAUUCUUUGAACAUCCUUUUGCAUAGAAGUUUCUAAUCUAGUCAUAGAUUUCUCAAUAUUCAAUUCCCAAUAUGGACACACUUCCAUAUGUUCCAUAUGACAACUCAUUCUUAAUAGAAUCUUAUCUAUUCGUAAUGAUGUCGAUAUGGUCCAUCCAAUAUGGAAACAUUUCCAUAUUUUCCAAUACUAUACUUCCAACUACUCACAAGCGACCAAUCCUCGUCGAACUUGGAUUGUCCUUUGAUAGUUGUUUAAUUAUUUUAGUCAAAACCAAUUCUAGUCCCUUUUCCCUCUAAAUGCGCUCGACAUUUGGAAAAUUUUAGAAUGGUCAAACAUUAAAGCAUUUGCAAUCGAUCCUAUACCCGAAGCGUAUGGGACACGACGCAUAAUGUUUUAUUUGCUAUGUUCUCAAAAUUCGAAUUGUGAAGAGGGAUGCCGUAAUCAUAAUCGAAAUUUUAAGAACACACUUUGUACCUUUGACUAAAUUUUAUUAACAUUUCUCAACCUAAACCUUUAGAUUUGAAAUGAAGCAUAAUAUUCUCUCCCUUAAUUAUAGCAAAACAACUCUUCAACUAUUGCGACUUUGCAAAGUAUGACUCUUGUUUUCUAUAAUUAAUAUUGCUAACCUUGCAAUACUUUCCUUAAUAAUCAUACAAUCAUAACUUUUAUGCUCCCACUAUCUUGAUGAUUAUUAUAAAACAUAACACUUAUGCUCCCACUAGCUUCGACAUGUAUUCAUAAACAUCUUAACUUUCAGAAAACAAUACUUAUUGAAUUUCUUAAGUUCAUGUUUCUAAUACUUAGUGCUUUGAUAAUCUUUUAUCAAGGCUUCUUGAACUUAUACACCUUUGCCUUCGAUAGUUCAUAUGUGUGUCUAAACAAUUAAGACUAAUUGCCAAACCUCACAAUUCAAAUUAUGGAAAGGGAUGCCGUAACCAUAAUUGAAUUCGAGAAUGCAAUUUUACAAUCACUAUCUUCUUAAAAUCUGUCUUAGUGAAAGCAUUUCCUCACAAUCAUUUUCAUGAAGGAGGAAAUCUUAUGACACUUAGAUUUAAACGGUGUAUUUGUUCCUAUCCAUGUGAAUUUGUCAAAACCAAAGUUUACGACAAAUUCAAACUCUUAUGGAUCGAACUUUCUUGAUCUCGAUUUCUUGCCUUUAUGGUAGCACAGCUGCCCACCAUGUCUUCCAAGUAGUUAAGCAGCUCACCCUUUCCUAUCAAUGUACCUUUCAUUGAUUAAGGUGCUUUGCCUUUUAUGCGUUCAAAAUGAGAACUCAUAGAACUCACAUGCAUAAUUAACUCGAUUGGAUUGGCACAGAAUCAAAAUAAUGUCAACACGAUAGGUUGUAAACCUCAACUCGUGUGCUAGUGAUGAUCGAUAAGGUUUAUUUGAUUUGUUCUUGAAACCUUUCAAGACCAUUAAGACUCCCACUGACUCCUUGACAUAUAAGAUUCUCUUGUCAAAAAACAUUUCUUGACAAACAAAUAUUCAAGAGUUAGUGUAGCUUUUAUCAAAACACUUCAUAAAUUGGUCCUAGUUGGUCUUUGUCUUAUCCAAGACAUCACAACUUUCCACAUUUAAUGAAAGUUACAAACCUUCUUAAUACCUUUCACUCAAUGUCACAAUCUUAACUUUAAGACUUGUUAUUGGAACGAAGUAUGAUUGACUUAUUGAUUUAACCAUUUCUUCAAUUCUUGAUUCCUCUUCUUAGACAUACAAUUGUACUAAGACUCACUUAGAGGAUCAAUUGAGAUAUGGUUCUUAAUCAUUAAGACCUAUCAUAAAGCAUAAAAGGUACUCUCCCUUCUUCUUAGAAUGGAGAAACUUUUAUCUUUCUGCCUACUUGAUUCUUCUUAUUCGUUCUGCUAUUGAUUUAAACCUUUUCAAUCAAUUCAGAAUUACACUUAAUCUUAUAAGUAUAAUCAUAUUUACUAAACCUUUAGUAAAUCAUGACGAAUAUCUUUGUUACUCUUAUGGUGGACUUGAUCAACACGCAACUUUGUGUACUCGAUCUCCUAGUCCUUCACUUGACACUUUGUCAAUGAAUUAGUCUAAUUUCCAAAUAUGAAAUUUCUCAUUCAUCGUGCAACCAAGUUGCAUGAUUCCAAGUUUCUGUCCAAUUGAAACUUGGGCGAUGAGAAACUCUCCCUAUUUGGUAAAUUCUCGACUUUCCAUAAAUAACAUAAUAAGAACCAAAUCCAUUAUUGCUAAUAAUAGAAACAUUUUAACAUCAAUUUUUCAUACACGCCAUUGUAAGGAUAAAUAAAUAAAAUUUAAAAUCAAAAUUUAUUUUAUUGCGGAAAAAUUUGUCCUUACAAUGCAACUCAUUGAAAAACUUAUGCUAAUACAUCUUUCUUAGCAAUCUAAUUCUAACUCUAAGUAGUAGCUCAAGAAUCUAAUCUUCGAGAAAUGCGAUCGAAAUCCAUUCCUUCACGGUUAGAUUCUGCUCACUUCUUCCCUUAAGCUUCCUUUCUUUUCUUCGAUCCUACAAAACAUCAAUUGUAAUCUUAUCACAUUAUGUAUUAAGAAUCUAGAAUAGAAGCUUAAAAGAGUUAGUUAAUGGAUUUUACCUAUAUUAGAGCCAUACGUUUCGACUCUCCCAUCUCUUAGAUCUCUUAGGUAAAUGGGGCAGCUUCGUCUCCAAUGCCCUUUCUCUUGGCAAUAAAAGCAAAUUGACUCUUUUGGAACAUGACAUGGAACUACUUCAGACAUUGCCUUUCUCUUAUGAUCAAACUUUUCGAUCAUAGCAUGUCUUUCGUUGCCAUUGUCUAUAUCCAUAGAGGUCUUGAAGGCAGAUUCACCAAUCAACUUUGCUUUUCUAUUGCGCCAAACCAUUGCUGAUUCAGCAGCAAUAAGCAUAUAGGUGAGAUCUAUAAGGGUCACGUCGCGGUUCAUCAUAUAGUACUCUCUUACGAACUCACUAUAUGAGUUAGGAAGUGACUGAAGAACCCAAUCAACAGCCAUUUCCUCACAGACAACGGAUCCCAACAUUCUUAACCUAUCAAUGUGUGACUUCAUCCCUAGGACGUGUGCACACACCGACUUUCCUUCUUUAUGUUUACUUGCCAAAAGGGCUUGAGUGAUCUUGAACUUUUCAAGCCUUUGAACUUGUGGGUUAGGGAGAAUAAUUGGAGGAGGUGGAGGAAGUGAAGCAUGAUUUCUUGUUCCUCGAUCGAAUCGUGGAAUAUCAUCUUCAUGUGGAAAGCUUGUUCCACGGGAUUUGGGAAGACCAUAGUUGUCGAACUUUGACAUCUACAAAACGGGAGAAAACGAAUUCAAGUUAGUUGAUUGAUUGAGUCCUUAGUAAAUCACCCAAAUGAGAUACUAAGGCUAGGACCCAACACAAUAUUCUACAACUCGGGAGAGGGAUGCCGUAACCCAAAUUGCAGAACAUUUGAAGGUAAGUGAAUGACGAUUCACUAAUUUCCACCAUGAAAAACGAAAAAGAAAUUUAAGUUUUAAAUCUAUGAAAACUCCUAGAUCCUUUGAGAUUCAUUGAACUUUCAAUGGCAUGUUUAAAUCUCGAUAUGCCCCUCUUGUUUGUGACUGGGAUGCCGAGGAUCACAAAGCGGGUGUGAAUAACCAUGCAAACUUACAUGGUGCCCUCACAUGUUACAGUCACCUAUUCGAUGUGCCGGUAAACCACACACGCUCCACCGAACUAUGACAAACAUUGAGUCACCCUUUGCUACCUUUGCUUAGAACCAUUUAGUGUGCCGGUAAACCACACACGCUCCACUAACGUCUUCGCAAGGGCACAAAGUGUAAUUUCAUGGAAUUGCAUCAAUUCACUUUUGCCUAAGUAACUAAGAUUGGGAAUUUUAUGAAAACAUUUAGUUACUUUUAUACUUCAUUAUACUUAUAAUGGAAGGUUUCGUCCUAUCCUACCCGUUCGGCUAACGACCCUCCACUAGUCAAGAGUGCGGUGGGUAAGAGUGGAUACCCAUUCAAUCGCCAUUUUAUAGGCAAUUUCCUUAAACACCCCUUAUAGACCAGCUUCGUGAAUGAGGCCUACUAACGGUAAGACUGACUUUUACUCAUACAUAUAUAUAAUGUUAGACUUUUAAUGUUAUAUAUAGUAUAGGGUGUAUUUUACACUUUUAAAAUACUAGGUGGUCAAAUUUAACAAUUAUACUUUUAAUUCAAUUAAAUUGUAAACCUAAACUUUUAUGGAUUUAUUAAACCUCUUUUAAUUAUACACCUUAAUUAAUUAAUAAAACCAUAAGGGUGUGAUUUGAACUUUUUCAAAACUAUACUAGAGUUUUAGAAUUUAACAUUCCUAAUUAAACUUUUAAUCAACUUUUAAAUUCCAAAACUUGAGGGCAAGUUUUGAAACAUUUCAACACAUUAGGGUUUAGAAUUUAAAUAUACAUCAAAAUUAAACCAUUUAAUCAAAAUUUAAAUUCCAAAACUUGAGGGCAAGUUUUGAAACCUUUUUCAAAACAUUAGGGUUUCAACUAUUUAAAUUUCAAAACAACAAAACUUUUGGGGUCAAAUUUAAACUAUAAAACCUAAAGGGGAAAAUAUGAAACUUUUCAUAACAACAAGGAUCAAAUAACAAAUAAUCUAAAUUAACAUUUAAUCACAUAAUUAUCCAUAUUUGAUUUAUUUAAUGAUUUCUUGCAAAACAAUUUAUCAAUUUAGUCAAAAUAAUUAAUCAAUUAUCACAUAAGGAAACAAUUAUCUUAUUAAUUGAUAAAUAUCUUCAAUUAGAUCAAAAAUAUAGUCAAAUAUAUCAUAAAAUCGGAUUAAUAUUGAUCUAACAUGAUAAGGUAACUAUCCAUAAGCAAAAACAGCAAGAAAUCGCGAAAUACCCUCCAUCUGACGAGUUGACUCGUCGAGUCAGGCUUGGACUCGUCGAGUCUGCAUGGACUCGGCGAGUUCAGCCAUGGACUCGGCGAGUCCAGCCUCCAGAAACCCAAAAAACGAAUUUUCCAGUUAUACAAUGCAUCAAUACAAUUGAAACCAAGCUAGGCUCUGAUACCACUGAUGGGUUUUGGUCAUAAGACAUCCUAUGUGCUCAUACAAACCCUAAUGCUUGGAUCUAGGUUUCUCUAUUGUACAUGCUUUGAAUCCAAGACUAUAAACCCUAAUUCUAGCAUAUGGAAAUCAAUAUUAACAUAUAAUUAGGUUUAAGAUAUUACCUUGAUUGUUAUGUAGCAAUAACAAUCCCAAUUCCUCCUUGAAUUGACUUUGGAAGGCUUAGAGUCACAAGUGUCACUCCUCUAAUGGCUUACAAACACCAAGAGCAAAUGGAGAAGGUAUAAGGAGAGAGGGGAGGUAUUAGAAUUCGUCUCUAGGACCUCUUGGGAAGGCAUGGACGAAUUCAUGAGCCUUGGGGUCUUUAUAUAGGUGUAGAGAUUAGGGUUUCAGUCCUUAUCCUUAUCUAGUUACUUGCCCAUCAAGCAACCAUAAGAUAAGCCUAUGAAAACCCUAUCUUUUGGACCUUGGACGAUUUUAAGGAUAUCCUUAUCCUUGAAUUCGUCCAUCCUUUAACAAGGAUAACCAUUGCCCUAUUUUGUAACUAUCACAUAAUUACAAUUCAGCCCCUCUAGUUUAAUUAAUUACAUUUGAUCACAAAAUUAAUUCUUAAUUAAUUAUUGACCAAUAUUAAUUAAACAAAUAUGAUUUCUCCUUUAAUAUAUUAUUCUUAUAACAUAUUAAUAAAUCAUAAUAACCUCUCUCUCUCUCUCUAUUUAUUUCUCCAAUCAAGUUGCUUUGGUGAAGGCAACCCAAAAGGACCAUGCACCAUCGGGUCAAGUACAUACCAAAAUAGUUAUGGACUUAGACACUAAUCCAACAAGUUGUACCUUUGACCAUGUGAUCAGUGAAAGAACUUAGAUUCACGGUGGUACUGGUAUGUAGCCUCUAGCCAUGUAGAGCAUGUGUCGUAAGAUAAUGACUUCUAUUCUAUGGCAUUGGCAGAAGGUUAGAUAGGGCUAAAAGCAUGAAAUAUACCAAAAUGAUUAAUCAAAAAGUGUAUGUCUUCUGUGCCAAUUGGGCUGAAGCUUUAUUGAUGUAUAUUAGGUAUAGAAAUUGUUAUGUCUCAUUGAUUGAUAUGGAAAGCUUGGCGUAUGAUUCACAUAUGCCUUUGUUGUUCCUUGUUCCCUUUGCUUCUUCCAUAUUGAGGUAUAUAUAUGGCAUAACGUUAUAUUGUAUCUAUUAUUGAACUCACUAAGCGUCACCGCUUAUCCCUCUCAGUGUUUAACAAUUGCAUGAAAUGAGAAUCCAA
RNAcentral lists this long non-coding RNA (7623 nucleotides) under Lactuca sativa (garden lettuce). RNAcentral's name for it is "long non-coding RNA (LSAT_LNC009941)". Lineage: Eukaryota; Viridiplantae; Streptophyta; Magnoliopsida; Asterales; Asteraceae. The record is from RNAcentral.